Drosophila bipectinata is the source of this 827-nucleotide long non-coding RNA. RefSeq lists it as uncharacterized. The record is from RefSeq and is a predicted model, not a curated record. Lineage: Eukaryota; Metazoa; Arthropoda; Insecta; Diptera; Drosophilidae.
AUUUUCUUAGCGUGGGCGAGGAAAGACGUGCCAAUAGGAGCGCAGCGGCAAUCAACGGAUGUUAACAGGUAGUGUCAGGGAAGAAGACGGCGUCGUCAUGGCAACGGCGCCGCAGCAUUGUCGCCGUGUAAACGGUGCCGCAGCAGAGCAAAAAAAUACGGCGCCACAACCGAUGCCGCGAGCAACAAAAAACGGCAACAUAGCCAACGGCGCCAGCGAUGAAAUACGGCGGCAAAACCAAGCCGCAGCUAAAAGAAACGGCGGCAAAAACCAAAAGCGCCAGCGACGAAAAACGGCGGCGUAACAAAAAGCGCCAAACAUUUAUAUGGUAAAAAGCGGACGCAGAAAAAAAUGAUGACGGCGUCGUCAUAGCAACGGCGCCGCUGCAACGCUAAAAAAUACGGCGCCAUCAACGAAAAACGGCGGCACAUACAAUGCCGGCAGCGACAACGGCGGCAUAACCAACGGCGCCAUGCAUUCAUAUAAUAUGAAGCGGUGGCAAAAAAAAAUGAUGACGGCGUCGUCGAAGCAACGGCGCCGCAGCAGCGCUAAAAAGUACGGCGCCAUCGACAAAAAACGGCGGCACAUUUAAUGCCGGCAGCGAAAACAAACGACGGCAUAACCAACGGCGCCAAACAUGUAUAUGGUAGGAAGCGAAGGCAAAAAAAAUUGAUGACGGCGUCGUCGAAGCAACGGCGCCGCAGCAGCGCUAAAAAGUACGGCGCCAUCGACAAAAAACGGCGGCAAAUUCAAUGCCGGCAGCGAAAAAAAACAACGGCAUAACCAACGGAGCCAAACAUUUAUAUGGUAGGAAGCGAAGGCAAAAA